GGGCCCGCACAAGCAGCGGAGCGUGUGGUUUAAUUCGAUGCAACGCGAAGAACCUUACCUGGGCUUGACAUGUACGUAGUAGUGAAGGGAAACCGGAACGAGCCUUCGGGCAGCGUAGACAGGUGCUGCAUGGCUGUCGUCAGCUCGUGUUGUGAAAUGUUGGAUUAAGUCCCGCAACGAGCGCAACCCUUAUCCUUUGUUGCCAGCGGUCCGGCCGGGAACUCAAAGGAGACUGCCAGUGAUAAACUGGAGGAAGGUGGGGAUGACGUCAAGUCAUCAUGGCCCUUACGACCAGGGCUACACACGUGCUACAAUGGCGCAUACAAAGAGAAGCGACCUCGCGAGAGCAAGCGGACCUCAUAAAGUGCGUCGUAGUCCGGAUUGGAGUCUGCAACUCGACUCCAUGAAGUCGGAAUCGCUAGUAAUCGUGGAUCAGAAUGCCACGGUGAAUACGUUCCCGGGCCUUGUACACAC
This 474-nucleotide ribosomal RNA is filed under the name uncultured bacterium. RNAcentral's name for it is "bacterial SSU rRNA". It matches the Rfam family "Bacterial small subunit ribosomal RNA", at positions 917 to 1390 of the family's 1533-position model. The record is from RNAcentral.